UUUUUUACAAGCUAGUGACCAAGAAAAAAGAAGCAACGAAAAAUGUUAUGUAUGCAUCGGCUAUUUUUUCCCCAUAAAUGAUUGAGAUUUUAUUCAAAGAGAAACUGGGAUACAAACCAAGCAAAAAAAAAAGAAUAUAAAUAGACAAAGGACUUAAAAAAAAAAGAGGAUGACUGGAAAAAAACCAUGGAGAAAAAAGAAUAACCCCCUUGCACACAUCCUAGCAAGGAAAAACACCAAC
Molecule: long non-coding RNA, 241 nt
Filed under: Linum usitatissimum (flax)
Lineage: Eukaryota; Viridiplantae; Streptophyta; Magnoliopsida; Malpighiales; Linaceae
Description: long non-coding RNA (LUSI_LNC002540)
Source: RNAcentral